AGUGGGUCUGGUUUUAUGUUGAGGUCUUUAAUCCACUUGUACUUUAGUUUUGUGCAGAACGAUAAGUAUGGAUCUAUGGCUACUCGGGAGGCUGAGACAGGAGGAUCACUUGAGUCCAGGAGUUCUGGGUGUGUACUAUCCUGAUAUGGUGAUCUCCUGGGAGCAGGGGACCACCAGGUUGCCUAAGGAGGGAUGAACUGGCCCAGGGUGAAAACAAAGCAGGUCAAAACUCCCAUGUUGACCAGCAGCAUUUAAAACUAGUUUUCUCCCACUAGAAAAUAACAUCAGGUUAUUAUUGGUUUCACAAAACUUC
This 313-nucleotide signal recognition particle RNA is filed under the name Meriones unguiculatus (Mongolian gerbil). Its description in RNAcentral is "Metazoan signal recognition particle RNA (ENSMUGG00000024356.1)". The stretch from base 130 to 247 matches the Rfam family "Metazoan signal recognition particle RNA", at positions 116 to 233 of the family's 299-position model. Lineage: Eukaryota; Metazoa; Chordata; Mammalia; Rodentia; Muridae. The record is from RNAcentral.